Molecule: ribosomal RNA, 489 nt
Filed under: uncultured bacterium
Lineage: Bacteria
Description: bacterial SSU rRNA
Rfam family: Bacterial small subunit ribosomal RNA
Source: RNAcentral
AACGAACGCUGGCGGCGUGGAUAAGACAUGCAAGUCGAACGGGAUCAUUGAGGUAGCAAUAUCGCGAUGGUUUAGUGGCGAACGGGUGCGUAACACGUGGAUACCUUCCGGAAAGCGGGGGAUAGCCCAGGGAAACUUGGAUUAAUUCCGCAUGUGGUCGAGAGACUAAAGACGGGGGCCGCAAGGCCCGUCCCUUUUCGAUUGGUUCGCGGCCUAUCAGCUAGUUGGCGGGGUAAAAGCCCCCCAAGGCUUCGACGGGUAGCUGGUUUUAGAGGGCGGCCAGCCCCCCUGGAACUGAGACCCGGUCCAGACCCCUACGGGUGGCAGCCGUCGAGAAUUUUUCCCAAUGGGGGCCACCCUGAUGGAGCGACGCCGCGUGGAGGAUAAGGUUUUCGGAUUGUAAACUCCUGUCAUGUGAGAACAAGGUUGCAAUGCUAAUAGUAUUGCAAAUUGAUGGUAAAAGGAGAGGAAGAGACGGCUAACUUUGUG